Molecule: small RNA, 582 nt
Filed under: Pan troglodytes (chimpanzee)
Lineage: Eukaryota; Metazoa; Chordata; Mammalia; Primates; Hominidae
Description: processed transcript
Source: RNAcentral
CCCAGCAUCACAGACUGGCUUCCAAGUAACAAAAGUGCUAUUCUUGUAUCAGAAUUUUCUCACCCCAGGGAACUGGCAAGUUACAUCAGACGACUGGAUUCUGAUGACAGAUUGUAUGAGGCCUAUGUAGAAUGGAAGCUGAAGGGUGAGAUCUCUAACCAGCGACUUCUGACAGCUCUCAGGGAACGGAAAUGGGGAGUGCAAGACGUCAACCAGGACAAUUACAUCGAUGCAUUUGAGUGUAUGGUGUGCACCAAGGUGUGGGCUAAUAUCAGGCUUCAGGAAAAGGGCUUACCACCCAAAAGAUGGGAGGCAGAAGAUACCCACCUGAGUUGCCCAGAGCCCACAGUGUUUGCUUUCUCACCACUCCGGACUCCACCUUUGAGCUCUUUGCGAGAGAUGUGGAUAUCCAGCUUUGAACAAUCCAAGAAAGAAGCCCAGGCACUAAGCUUAUUGGUAUUUGGCAAACCUGGUAUCCUGCAGCCGAGCAUGAACAUGAAAUACAUUAGAACUUGGCAAUGAGAGAUCCCAUCUGUUGGUUUCCAGGGAUGUAAGUGAGUAAUAAAAGCUGUUUCAAGUUUA